GGGCAGAGAAUACCUGAUCAAACACCUUAUCUUGUCUCGUUACUUCAAGAUAUGAUGGGCUCAGGAAGAUGUAUAUAGAGUGCCUCAAGAGAUGCAGCAUCAACAAUGCAAAGAAAGUCCUCCCACUAGAACAAGAGCCAAGUUGGAUGGACCCCAUCAUCGGCUACUUAGUGGAUGGGGUCCUCCCCAAUGAUCCUUUAGAAGUGAGUUAGUUGAGAUGCAUGGCAUCUCGAUAUGUCCCAUU
Molecule: long non-coding RNA, 244 nt
Filed under: Elaeis guineensis (African oil palm)
Lineage: Eukaryota; Viridiplantae; Streptophyta; Magnoliopsida; Arecales; Arecaceae
Description: long non-coding RNA (EGUI_LNC074067)
Source: RNAcentral